This 253-nucleotide unclassified non-coding RNA is filed under the name uncultured Alphaproteobacteria bacterium. Its description in RNAcentral is "contains 16S-23S intergenic spacer region". It matches the Rfam family "Bacterial small subunit ribosomal RNA", at positions 524 to 776 of the family's 1533-position model. The record is from RNAcentral. Lineage: Bacteria; Pseudomonadati; Pseudomonadota; Alphaproteobacteria.
CACGUAGGAUCCAAGCGUUAUCCGGAUUUACUGGGCGUAAAGCGCGUGCAGGUGGUUUGGAAAGUUGGGUGUUAAAGCUCUCGGCUCAACCGGGAGUUGUCGCUCAAAACUAGCAGACUAGAGGAUGGUAGAGGGAGGUGGAAUUCCACGUGUAGAGGUGAAAUUCGUAGAUAUUCGGAAGAACACCAGUGGCGAAGGCGGCUCUUUGGCCUAUAACUGACGCUGAGGCGCGAAAGCGUGGGGAGCAAACAGG